GGAGGGGUGGCAGAGUCCGGUUGAUUGCUGCUGUCUCGAAAACAGUCGGCGUAAGAAACGUCCGUGGGUUCGAAUCCCACCCCCUCCG
RNAcentral lists this transfer RNA (88 nucleotides) under Leptospirillum ferrooxidans C2-3. It matches the Rfam family "tRNA". Rfam says of the family: Transfer RNA (tRNA) molecules are approximately 80 nucleotides in length. Their secondary structure includes four short double-helical elements and three loops (D, anti-codon, and T loops). Further hydrogen bonds mediate the characteristic L-shaped molecular structure. tRNAs have two regions of fundamental functional importance: the anti-codon, which is responsible for specific mRNA codon recognition, and the 3' end, to which the tRNAs corresponding amino acid is attached (by aminoacyl-tRNA synthetases). tRNAs cope with the degeneracy of the genetic code in two manners: having more than one tRNA (with a specific anti-codon) for a particular amino acid; and 'wobble' base-pairing, i.e. permitting non-standard base-pairing at the 3rd anti-codon position. The record is from Rfam by way of RNAcentral. Lineage: Bacteria; Pseudomonadati; Nitrospirota; Nitrospiria; Nitrospirales; Nitrospiraceae.